AGGCAAAACACCAAAAGGAGAUGUCAACUGCUAUAUCUCUACAUGUUUUAGAUGGCAUUACAUUGGUCUCUGAAGAAUCGCAAAAGCAUUCUUCAACGCAAGACAGCGCCGUGCAGCCUGAAGAUUUGAUGCAGAAGUGUAUUGAUUCACAAAUUUUACUUUGUUGUCAGGAGGGCUUGCAUUUAUUCUCCUUAAGUUCUAUAAUGCAGGGCGAUAUCAAACCUAUACGUGAAGUGAAACUUGCUAAACCAUGUU
This 255-nucleotide unclassified non-coding RNA is filed under the name Hevea brasiliensis (rubber tree). Lineage: Eukaryota; Viridiplantae; Streptophyta; Magnoliopsida; Malpighiales; Euphorbiaceae. The record is from RNAcentral.